AAGUCGUAACAAGGUUUCCGUAGGUGAACCUGCGGAAGGAUCAUUGCGAAUCGUGGGAUGGGUUUGGUGGAAUGGGAUUGGCUGGUGGUUUUAAGCCAUUCUGUCCUGUUCUGCCACGCUCAACAUAUGGUCUCGGACCGAGUAUUUGCAUCUGCGUUUAUUCGGCCCGCUUGACAUUUACGCUUGUCUUGUUUGUCAGAGUUUAAUAUGCAAAGUUUAUACAACUUUUAACAAUGGAUCUCUUGGCUCUU
RNAcentral lists this unclassified non-coding RNA (251 nucleotides) under fungal sp. RNAcentral describes it as "partial internal transcribed spacer region". The stretch from base 1 to 46 matches the Rfam family "Eukaryotic small subunit ribosomal RNA", at positions 1786 to 1831 of the family's 1831-position model. The record is from RNAcentral. Lineage: Eukaryota; Fungi.